Esox lucius (northern pike) is the source of this 1668-nucleotide long non-coding RNA. The record is from Ensembl. NCBI's taxonomy places the organism in Eukaryota, Metazoa, Chordata, Actinopteri, Esociformes, Esocidae.
CACCGGUCUCCUCAUAUCAACUCCUCGUAGGUUGGCUACCAGCCACCUUGUAGAUCAAAACUGUCUUCCUAAGGGGGAACAGUCCUUCCCUGCACAGAAACACAAUUCCCCCUUUGCCUUAAUGUUGGGCUCUUCGUCUACACAAUACCAGAUACAUCGGAGAUUGCACCUCUCGCUACGAGCCACUACAGUAAUAAUCACCAUAAGAGGUACGCUAGUACAUUUUAUUUUUGACUUCCCGCUCCAUUUUGACCUUAUGUAUCGCAACCUCUAUCCCAAUACAUGUCAAAGUCUAAAUUUAACUGUGAAGUUCCUCCCUGGUCCUCUCCCCUCACCUGGCACAUUGUCCUUUUGCUGUUCUUGUCCUUUGACGUUUCGACUUAAAGGCCUCUGCCUCGCACUUUAACAGAAAAACUGUCUCAUCUCCUUUUUUGUGAGCGACUCCAUGUCUCAGAUCUGUUGCUGUGGGGCACAAGGCACAAUGUUAAAUUUGAAGUUGUGCUGUCCUGUCUGACCGUUGAUUGCAGAUGUGUUUGAGACAUAAGGAGGUCAGGCCUUCCACCAUCUCCCAUGUGAAACAUCCUUCAUUUGCCAUGAAUCUGGUUUUGGGACUCAGAAGGUGCCAAAGGGAAAGGUUUCAGGAGGUUUCACUUCACAUUGGUGUUCCCAAAUCGUUUCCAUGCAUUGGGUUAGAGGUCCGCAAUACUAUCCUUAUAGGAGAAAGGAGAAGACAAAACACUGCAUCAGUUUACCUAUUCUCCUGGGCCCUAACAUCUGGGCUACUGCCAUACUAAAAUAAUGUAUUAAUUAAUUUAAUAAGUAUUAAAGAGAUGGUGGGAUCAUUACUUAAAUGUCAGAAAAAUUAACAAACAACUGUUUCAGUUGUGUAAAAGUAUCCCAAAUAAUUCACAACACAUUUAAAACAAUUAUCAAUUUAGAUUUAAAACAACAAUAUGAAUGACCAGUGCCUAAUUAAAAUGUUCCUUAGUGUCCAAGUUGUUUCCACACAUGUGAAUGUUCUUGGUCAAUAGGUUCCAAAACACAAAAUCAGUAGUGUUUUUUUGUUGCUAUAAGAAUAUCAUUUUAAAAACGCUGUUUCAUAAGUCUCAAAAUGGGCAAAAAAACCAACAACAAAAUAAUACAAUUAGUACAAUAAUAAUGAAAAAAAAUAACCAAUAUAAUCAAGCGUUGCCGAGAACCAAACACAGAAUAGAUGUAAAGAAUGUAAACUCCCUUCUCAUCUCUGAUGUCCCCAUGUCCAGUCAAAUGGCUCCUGGCUGGUGUAGUCAUGGAUGUAGGAGCCUCUUUGUUCUAUGUGCCUCUCUCCAUUCUUCCACCCUCUCCUUGGCUGUGGUGUACCUGGAACUAUCAGUGUCCCAUAUUCUUAUUCUGACCCCAAGGCAGUCUGUCACAGGUCUGGGCUUGGUUUGGCCCUGGAAUCAUCUGGGCCACAGGUGUUAGAUACCCCUUCAUUGGACUUGGUGUAUCAGUGCUGCACGACUCAGGACUCCUUUGUGAGAAACAAAGAUAGAAUCUUGCACCACAGAAAGUUAAAACCUUGACCAGAAAGUUUAGCUGAAUUUAAAGCUUUGUGUUAACCAACCUUUUUAAACCCCAAUCUUUUCUUAAUGUAACAUCAAUGAUAAAAGUAACAAAAACUAAAACACC